GUAAAUAUAGUUUAACAAAAACUUUAGAUUGUGAGUCUAACAAUAGAAUAGGACAUUCUUAUUUACC
This 67-nucleotide transfer RNA is filed under the name Histiotus macrotus (big-eared brown bat). RNAcentral's name for it is "tRNA-His". The record is from RNAcentral. Lineage: Eukaryota; Metazoa; Chordata; Mammalia; Chiroptera; Vespertilionidae. RNAcentral also lists the same sequence under 2 other names.